GUAAAUUGAGAAAUAUUUUAGAAAAAUGUGUUUUUAUUCAUUUGAAUUGAUUAAAUAAGAUACAAACUAAACACCCAUGAUGUUGCAUAAAUGCUGGCAACAGCGUAUAAGAAGUCAGGCAACAUUUAUUGCAAGCAACAUGUGUCCCGAUGAGUAGUAUGAGUGUGUUUGUGUGAAAGCGGUAUCUGAUACUAAAAUCUUCGGGCCGAAUUGCGGUUUGCAUGAGGGAAAUUUUCCGGCUUUGUCACCCUUAUAAAAGGCCCUAAGGGCGGCCAACGGCAUUAAAAUACAGUGGUGACGUGCAAAGUGGAAGUUGUGUUUAAAGCGAAAGUUAACGCGCGGAAGUGUUGUGAAGUACAUACUAUAAAAAAAAGAAUAUACAUAUGUAAAUGUUUGCAGUGGUAAAGCGAGUUAGAAGCUAUUCCGCUAACUGUUCGGUUUUCGCCCAAAGUGAAAGUAGCGUAGGAAAAGGCUAGAAUUGGAGGUCUUUAAAAACAAAAAUCAAAUAAAUGCUUAACCACUUGCCUGGGACCUACCAUAGACGCAUGCAUAUAGGCAGGCACGAUGCGUAUAUAUCUACGUGUGGAUGUGUGGGUGUAUGCAUGCAAAUAUGCAAAAUCAGAGCCCUGAAGUAUUUUUAAUAUUGUUGAUAUAUAUUGAUGCGUUUUAAGUCGCCAGCAGAGGGGACACUAAAUUACCUAAUAUCCUGCAAAAGACACGCCAUAUACGGGCCAACAGCGCUUUACCAAAAAACAAAAAGGAGGAGGGACACAAAGACGUUCAUGGUGUCUAACCACAACACUGAUGCACAAUUACCAGCCGUCACCUGCGCUAAAUUGGUUGAGAAAAGUAUCCAAUUUAUAAGCCUUCCUGAAGGAGUCAUAUACUCUUGGGAGGAGACCAUCGGCACUGCUGAUACACCCCAGCGAGUUUUCUAUCAACAACGUCUCCAGCUGAUGUGAUGCCCAACAAAAGUGGGUCAACGACCGUCAACAUUUUCUAAUCGGGAGAAGCGCAACAAAGAUCAACAUCAUAGACGCAGGAGCGGGCUGAAUUAAAGGAAGAGUGAACCACCAAACCAACGACUACGUGGGAGCCGCCAGAGCGCAGCAACAACACCACCAACGUAUCACUCAUCACCAGAGCUCAGCACCAACACCAUCAAUGUCCGACUCAAUACCAGUAGUGGAAUUCGCUAACUUUUAACGACGCCAAUUUACGAGUUGUUAGUUAAAUAUUUGUGUUGUUUACAGUAACAAUUGUUCGAUUCACUAAUUUAUCUUUAACGACACUAAACAGCUGACUUUCGCUAUUUAUGUAAAUAAAUAAAAAGUGGCACCCCUGUUAUCCGAAAUCUGCGAAAAGCACAAAAGAAAAUUGGAAAAAAAUUAAAGAAAUUUAUAGUUUGUUCUUGAAAAGGUAAGUAUUGUAAUGAAUUCAAGCAAAAAUAAUCGUGCUUUAUAAUUUAAUUACUUUUCUUUUUAUAUUUUAGGAUGGCCUCAACUAGCCAAGCAGCCACUACACGGAACCGCGCUUCAACGGAGCAGUUGAGUGCAAUGAUAGACUUAUUCCAAGAAACUCCGGGGCUGGACGGAGGUAAGUUUCAUCGGCUGCAUGGCAAGCUGGAACACGAAAAUAAAUGGGAGGAGAUGGCUUCCAAGCUAAAUGCCGUCGGAGGAGCUGAAAAGUCCGUCGACCAAUGGCGUACGGUCUGGCGCGAUUUGAAAAGUAGGACUAAUGUUCGAGUGCGAGACCGGAAAAGGCAGCAGGCGUCAACCGGAAACCGGCCCGUGAAACAGCCUCCUUUAACGGAGCUGGAGGAGCGCGUGGUGGCCAUUAUUGGAAGCCACUAAAUUGAGGGCCACGAGUCGGUAGCAGAAAAUGUACCAUUUGACUUGGAGCUUCAAUUGGCCCUGGAAGACGGUGAGGAGAUAGUCUUUCUGCGUGAAGCGGUGGAGUCCGAAGACCAGGUAAAAACUGAAGUGCGGCCGGAGACUCCAAAAACGCCUACAAUGAGAACUCCGCGCAGGGGAUUGAAGAGGAAAAGAGAGGAGGAGCAGAGCGGAACCGAAAAGAAGUUUUUGGAAGUUACACAAACUCAAGCCGCUGCAAUGAAGAUGCUGGCGGAAAGCUUUUCCAGACUGGUGGAGGCACCAUUCCAGCUGGCGGGGGAACUCCGGGUAUAUGGAGAAGGAAAGCCUGCGCCGAUGCUAUAAAUAAUUUGGCAAGGGCACUCGGUCCCCAAUAAUUUUUUUAAAUCUACUUAAAAGAUGGUAUUUCCUGAUACAGAUAUUCCAUCAUUACUGGAUUUGGAAAUACCAUCUUUUGAUUGGGUUUUAGGUUAAAAAUUAGGUUAAGAAAAUGAAUUUGUCCCAUUUAUUUAAUUUGCUAUAGUAUAUAAUACAUAGUUUGUUAUAUUUUAUACUCUGGUUGCCCGAAAAUUAGAAACGCGACUUCUUUUCAAGUUCUGACAAUUUUUUUUUUCUUAAUUAGUUUUAAUUUAUUUAAAAGAAAAACUUGGUCAUAUUAUAACGAAAUCCAUAUAAAACAAAGUAGUAAUCCUUGUACAGUAUUUAUGAAAAUUUAAAUUUACCGAAUUUUUAUAAAUCCUGUACAAGGUUUAUAACUGUGUUUUAUAUGGAUUUCGUUAUAAUAUGACCACUUACUUUACUUUUUAAGUAAAUUUUUUUAAAUCAAUACGGCAUAUUCAUAGUCGAAAUAAAAUUGACGCUAAGUUAGUAGCAGUUUUUUGACAUACAGCUAUAGUCAAAGAUGUAGCACCAGAAAUCAAAAUGAUAUUUUGUUUCUUUAUUUUUAAUAAUACUCAUUUAAAAUAUAAUUCAAUCUAUAAAAGAAACCACAUAAAU
Molecule: long non-coding RNA, 2867 nt
Organism: Rhagoletis zephyria (snowberry fruit fly)
Lineage: Eukaryota; Metazoa; Arthropoda; Insecta; Diptera; Tephritidae
Source: RefSeq, a predicted model, not a curated record